GCUGGGCUGUGUGCUUCCACCAGUGGAGAGCUCUUGGGAAGCACAAAUGGCUGCGGUUCACAUGACAGCCUUCCAUGUAACAACAGUGAUGGAGAGAGGGAGCUCAUCCAAGUUCAAGCCCUCAUUUCUCCCGGCUCUGCUGAAGAUGCUGACCUGAGCCCGCCAGGCACCACAGUCACCAGCCUGGACUGUGACCCGGCGCCUUUGCAGUGCAGCCCAGCCCAAGCACAGUCCGAGUGCCCCGACAGCAGCACCUCUGUGCAGGAGCAGGUCGGCAUCACCGAUGAGAAGCCGUGCCUCUUGGAGGGGGGCUUAGAAUCAGGCCCUCAGUCCCAGGCACCGUGCAGCGGAUCUGACAGCUCUGAGCCACUCUCUCCGUGACCUUUCCAUCCAAGAGAGGACGAUUCCCACCUUUACCUGGACCUCUCACGCCCUUCUGUCCUUUCCUUUAAUAAUAAAAGCACACUCGUGCUCACUCAACACCUUGAAUGCCUGUGGAGUCUUCAUUCACGAGGACUGGGAUGAAUGCAACAAACAGCAAGGCACCUCAGCUUGCAACGCUGAGGCUGCAGGGUGCAUGAAGCAGAGCUCCAGGCGCAUCCAUUCCUUGAAGGAAUCAGCAGCUGGCUGUUGGUGUUCCUGUUUUCAGCCUGGGAAAACCAUCGUCUGGGUCCAAACGUCAACUGCAGUGCAAUGCCAGGGAGCCUGUAGAAAUGCAAGUCGUAGUGCUGGCAGGACACUCAGGAUGAAACAGCUGUGCUUUGGCUCGAUGAAACUCAGGAUGGGAUUCAGAAGGCUAACAAGGACACUGAAGAGUCACAGAGAUGUAAGCAUUGUGGCAAAUACCGUGGUUCAAUGCCAUUGUCAACCAAAUAUUCGUCACCAAAUGAAAGAAUGCGAGCAAGAAAUGUACACAUGCAAAGGAAAUUAGAAUACAAGUGUUUCC
Lagopus muta (rock ptarmigan) is the source of this 946-nucleotide long non-coding RNA. RefSeq lists it as uncharacterized. The record is from RefSeq and is a predicted model, not a curated record. The transcript has 3 exons. NCBI's taxonomy places the organism in Eukaryota, Metazoa, Chordata, Aves, Galliformes, Phasianidae.